UACGUAGGGGGCAAGCGUUGUCCGGAAUCAUUGGGCGUAAAGCGCGUGUAGGCGGCUCGGUAAGUCCGCUCUGAAAGUCCGGGGCUCAACCCCGGGAGGCGGGUGGAUACUGUCGAGCUCGAGUCCGGAAGAGGCGAGUGGAAUUCCUGGUGUAGCGGUGAAAUGCGCAGAUAUCAGGAGGAACACCGGUGGCGAAGGCGGGUCUCUGGGCCGAAACUGACGCUGAGGAGCGAAAGCGUGGGGAGCGAACAGG
RNAcentral lists this ribosomal RNA (253 nucleotides) under uncultured bacterium. RNAcentral describes it as "partial 16S ribosomal RNA". It matches the Rfam family "Bacterial small subunit ribosomal RNA", at positions 524 to 776 of the family's 1533-position model. The record is from RNAcentral.